GACGAACGCUGGCGGCGUGCUUAACACAUGCGAGUCGAACGGAAAGGCCCUGCUUGCAGGGUACUCGAGUGGCGAACGGGUGGGUAACACGUGGGUGAUCUGCCCUGCACUUCGGGAUAAGCCUGGGAAACUGGGUCUAAUACCGGAUAGGAGCCAUUUUUAGUGUGAUGGUUGGAAAGUUUUUUCGGUGUAGGAUGAGCUCGCGGCCUAUCAGCUUGUUGGUGGGGUAAUGGCCUACCAAGGCGGCGACGGGUAGCCGGCCUGAGAGGGUGGACGGCCACAUUGGGACUGAGGUACGGCCCAGACUCCUACGGGAGGCAGCAGUGGGGAAUAUUGCACAAUGGGCGCAAGCCUGAUGCAGCGACGCCGCGUGGGGGAUGACGGCCUUCGGGUUGUAAACUCCUUUCGCUAGGGACGAAGCUUUUGUGACGGUACCUAGAUAAGAAGCACCGGCUAACUACGUG
This 464-nucleotide ribosomal RNA is filed under the name uncultured bacterium. RNAcentral describes it as "partial 16S ribosomal RNA". It matches the Rfam family "Bacterial small subunit ribosomal RNA", at positions 28 to 507 of the family's 1533-position model. The record is from RNAcentral.